UCUGAGGUGACGGGAAAGGGCCGGGAAAUUUCCACUUCUGAAUAAAAUGACUGCUGAAGUGAUGACCCGCAAGAAUUGGUCAAAUUUGGAGUAGACUUCACCCUGCGCUUGGUGAAACUUCUACGUCAAGGAUGCAAGAGGCGCCGAAGUAACGCAGCUCCCACCUGUCGCUCUCCGCUGGGCGCCGAGACUAUGGCCGGAGAAUAGCUGCACCGGGAUUGGAGAAAGGAAGCCAUCAGUCUUAGGAAGGCUCCACCUUCCUGCCAUUGCCUGGUUGGAGGAGCGUAGCGUCAGUCACUAGAGCAGUCACCACCUCUGGGACAGGUGAAGAUGUGUAACCUAUUUGCCGGGGGCUAUUUGGGAGGGAAUAGAGGACGGGGAGCGAUGAGGGGACAGUCGAGGGGCAAGGCCGAUCUCGCUUCGCGCCUCCCGCCUUUCUGAGUUGAGCCUAGCGCGCGGGUCUGAGGGACAUCCGGGGAGCUGCUUGGGAUGGCCGCCUUGGGGAGACUCGACCCGCCCGCCAGGACCCGGCCGCGCGCCGCAGUUCGGGCGCCUUCGGGCAGGAUCGCCCAGCGGGGCCGCGUUCUCCUGCUUGCGGACGGCUGCGGGCCUGAGGGCUGGACAGCGCCAUGCCUCAGUACCGGGAACUGUCCCACGUAGGAAGGUGGGAAUGCCGCGAACGGCGUGCGGAAUCCGACCUCAAGGUGGAACGGGGUGGUGAAGAGUGCAUGCUCCGAGGCAGUUUCGAGUUCUGGUGCUGCCACUUACUUGCUGCCUGACUUCGGCGCGUUUGCUGUUUCAUUUUUGUGACUUUCAACUCGCUCCUCUGUGAAAUGGGAGUAAUAUUAGUACCUUCCUCAUUGGGUUGUUGUUAUGAAUAAAUUAGAUGAUAAUAUAGCGCUUAGCAAAGUCCCAAACUUACAGGAAAGACUCAUUUUUGCUAGUUAUUGUCUCCUCUUCCUUCAGGAACUCUCUGCUCGCCCCUGGGUCCUGCCAGCCCAACUAAUUCUAGUUCUAAUCAGAUCUGUGUGGUG
This 1034-nucleotide long non-coding RNA is filed under the name Homo sapiens (human). RNAcentral describes it as "non-protein coding lnc-HBEGF-2:5". The record is from RNAcentral. Lineage: Eukaryota; Metazoa; Chordata; Mammalia; Primates; Hominidae.